GUAUUUACUUAGUAUCUUGGACAGAUUUAAGCACGAACUACAGAAUAGAGUUAUAACAAUAGAGAGUUACUUGGAGUUAAUGAGAAAAGGAACAAAUUCUUUACCAAAUAAUAAAUUCCAAUCUGAUUUUGAGGAAACUUUUCCCAUCGUGCGCCGUUUAUAUUCCGAUUAUUCCCGUUUAGUGACAUUUCUUGACAAAAAGCCUUGGGAUGAUUGUAUUAGGGCUAUCAACGAUCAUAAACCAAAGAUGCCAACAGCUAUGGAUAUAAUAGAGACGACAGACGGAUUGCACUACAUGCAGGCCGUUUACUCAAUAAAGAGUUCUCACAUGGC
This 333-nucleotide small RNA is filed under the name Drosophila ananassae. Its description in RNAcentral is "GF26831". Lineage: Eukaryota; Metazoa; Arthropoda; Insecta; Diptera; Drosophilidae. The record is from RNAcentral.